RNAcentral lists this long non-coding RNA (649 nucleotides) under Equus caballus (horse). RNAcentral's name for it is "lncRNA (ENSECAG00000045356.1)". Lineage: Eukaryota; Metazoa; Chordata; Mammalia; Perissodactyla; Equidae. The record is from RNAcentral.
AAGAAAUGACAAAGUAUUUCAGCAGAUAUAAUUAAAGCUAGAGAUGACAUAUGAAGAGUACAUUCAGUUAUGAGGAAAAAAGUAGUACCCCAAUAUAACUGGCAAACACAUAAAUAAAGUUGCAGAACUUUAUUUAGAAGAAGAACUAUUAGGCAAACAGUAAAAAUAUUUGUGGUUGCUAAUAUCAGAGAAUGCAGUUUAAAAGGCAAAAUAAGUUAUUUUUCCACUCAAAUUAGUUAAAGGAAAUGAUUGAGAGGGUAUAAUGAAAAUAGCACUUUCACACCUUGCAAGUGGAAAGACAUGAUGCAACCGUCUUGAAAAACAACGUGGCAACGUGAAUCAAGAGCCAUAAAAAGAUUUACACUAUUUUAACUAAAUGGCUGUAAUGUCAGCUGAAAUAUGAAAUUUUCUUCUGCGCACCAAUAUUUUCGAGAAUGUCAUAUGCUCAAGCAGUGUGUGAUGAGGAAUCUGAGAUCCAGGCAACCGAAUGGUUAAGGUUAUGCGAGCUCCAGAGACAUCAGAUUGUAAAUGACACCCGCACUGGGGGACACCAUUCACAUGAUCUAAGUUUAACCACAAUUAGUACAACCUUGUCAAUUAACAGAACUCUUGGGACAAAAAUCCUGAUCUCUGAACUCCUGGGCUGGGG